RNAcentral lists this microRNA (22 nucleotides) under Mus musculus (house mouse). RNAcentral describes it as "mmu-miR-6913-5p". The record is from miRBase by way of RNAcentral. Lineage: Eukaryota; Metazoa; Chordata; Mammalia; Rodentia; Muridae.
UGGGAGACCAGUCAGGUGUUGG